GACGAACGCUGGCGGCGUGCUUAACACAUGCAAGUCGAACGAAGUGGCGAACGGGUGAGUAACGCGUAAUCAACCUGCCCUUCAGCGGGGGACAACAGUUGGAAACGACUGCUCAUACCGCAUACUGAAGGCGGGGAUUGCGUCUGAUUCGCUCGUUGGAGGGGUAACGGCCCACAAAGGCGAUGAUCAGUAGCCGGUCUGAGAGGAUGAACGGCCACAUUGGUACUGAGAAACGGCCCAGACUCCUACGGGAGGCAGCAGUGGGGAAUCUGCCGCAAUGGACGAAAGUCUGACGGAGCAACGCCGCGUGAGUGAUGACGGCCUUCGGGUUGUAAAGCUCUGUUAAUCGGGACGCGGUACCGGAAUAGAAAGCCACGGCUAACUACGUGCCAGCAGCCGCGGUAAUUC
This 408-nucleotide ribosomal RNA is filed under the name uncultured bacterium. RNAcentral describes it as "partial 16S ribosomal RNA". It matches the Rfam family "Bacterial small subunit ribosomal RNA", at positions 28 to 526 of the family's 1533-position model. The record is from RNAcentral.